UACGUAGGGAGCGAGCGUUAUCCGGAUUUACUGGGUGUAAAGGGCGUGUAGGCGGGAUGGCAAGUCAGGCGUGAAAACUAUGGGCUCAACCCAUAGCCUGCGUUUGAAACUGUCGUUCUUGAGUGAUGGAGAGGCAAGCGGAAUUCCGUGUGUAGCGGUGAAAUGCGUAGAUAUACGGAGGAACACCAGUGGCGAAGGCGGCUUGCUGGACAUUAACUGACGCUGAGGCGCGAAAGCGUGGGGAGCAAACA
This 251-nucleotide ribosomal RNA is filed under the name uncultured bacterium. Its description in RNAcentral is "partial 16S ribosomal RNA". It matches the Rfam family "Bacterial small subunit ribosomal RNA", at positions 524 to 774 of the family's 1533-position model. The record is from RNAcentral.